Molecule: long non-coding RNA, 527 nt
Filed under: Phoenix dactylifera (date palm)
Lineage: Eukaryota; Viridiplantae; Streptophyta; Magnoliopsida; Arecales; Arecaceae
Description: long non-coding RNA (PDAC_LNC021886)
Source: RNAcentral
AGUUCUUUUGUAAGAUCCUUAUCUAAGGUUUAUUUAUAUUUUUUAAGUUCUGAAAAUUCCUUAGUUAGUUUUUCAUUAUCUUUAGUUAAGGUGUUAGUCUUUUGAGUUAAAAGUUGGUUGCUUGUUUUAAGUUCUAUAUUUUCUUUGGUGAUUAAAUUCUUAUCCUUAACUAAUUUAUCGUAUUUAUGUAGGUGUGAUUGAUUAGCUAUUUUUAGUUCUUUAUUCUUAAGAUUUAUAGCCUUAUAUUCUACCAUUAAUUCAUUAAAAGCAUCAUAAAGUUCAUCAAAAGAAAAAUCAGGAUGCGUAUCGGAAGUUACCUUGUUUUCGUUGGCCAUGAAGCAGAAAUUGGCCUUCUCUUCUUGUUCAUCAUCUGAUGAGGAGGAUGAUGAGUCGGAGUCGGAUAGUGUAGUGACAAGAGCCUUCUUCUUCUUGUACUUACUCCCCUUCUUCAGUAAGGGGCACUCUGCUCUUAUGUGACCCGGCUUCUUGCACUCGUAACAUCCUAUCCCCUCAUUUUCCCUUUCCUU